This 505-nucleotide ribosomal RNA is filed under the name uncultured bacterium. RNAcentral describes it as "partial 16S ribosomal RNA". It matches the Rfam family "Bacterial small subunit ribosomal RNA", at positions 28 to 507 of the family's 1533-position model. The record is from RNAcentral.
GACGAACGCUGGCGGCGUGCCUAAUACAUGCAAGUAGAACGCACAGUUUAUACCGUAGCUUGCUACACCAUAGACUGUGAGUUGCGAACGGGUGAGUAACGCGUAGGUAACCUGCCUGGUAGCGGGGGAUAACUAUUGGAAACGAUAGCUAAUACCGCAUAAUAUUGAUUAUUGCAUGAUAAUUGAUUGAAAGAUGCUAUUGCAUCACUACCAGAUGGACCUGCGUUGUAUUAGCUAGUAGGUGAGGUAACGGCUCACCUAGGCGACGAUACAUAGCCGACCUGAGAGGGUGAUCGGCCACACUGGGACUGGGACACGGCCCAGACUCCUACGGGAGGCAGCAGUAGGGAAUCUUCGGCAAUGGACGAAAGUCUGACCGAGCAACGCCGCGUGAGUGAAGAAGGUUGUCGGAUCGUAAAGCUCUGUUGUAAGAGAAGAACGGGUGUGAGAGUGGAAAGUUCACACUGUGACGGUAUCUUACCAGAAAGGGACGGCUAACUACGUG